Molecule: ribosomal RNA, 394 nt
Filed under: uncultured bacterium
Lineage: Bacteria
Description: partial 16S ribosomal RNA
Rfam family: Bacterial small subunit ribosomal RNA
Source: RNAcentral
AUACGUAGGUGACAAGCGUUAUCCGGAUUUACUGGGCGUAAAGGGCGCGCAGGCGGUAUAUCAAGUCAGCUGUCAAAGACUGGGGCUCAACCCUGGUAUGCGGUUGAAACUGAUAUGCUGGAGUGCUGUAGAGGCAAGUGGAAUUCCCAGUGUAGCGGUGAAAUGCGUAGAUAUUGGGAAGAACACCGGUGGCGAAGGCGACUUGCUGGGCAGCAACUGACGCUGAGGCGCGAAAGCCAGGGGAGCAAACGGGAUUAGAUACCCCGGUAGUCCUGGCCGUAAACGAUGAAUGCUAGGUGUGUGUGUAGAGAUACAUGCGUGCCGGAGUUAACGCGAUAAGCAUUCCGCCUGGGGAGUACGGUCGCAAGAUUGAAACUCAAAUGAAUUGACGGGG